Molecule: long non-coding RNA, 732 nt
Filed under: Pan troglodytes (chimpanzee)
Lineage: Eukaryota; Metazoa; Chordata; Mammalia; Primates; Hominidae
Description: lincRNA
Source: RNAcentral
AAAAUCUCCCCAGAUGCUCACUGCUCUGAUCAUUUCCCCUACAGCAUCAGACAUGUUGGCAUCAUCUCUUAGUUGGGCCCUGUGGCCAGGGAACCUUUCAUGAAACCACCUCUGCAGUCCUGGAGAGUUGCUGUAGAAGAAGGAAAAGAGAAGAAGACAACACAACACAGGAGGGGAUAAGUACCUCUGGACACAAUGGAAGUAGUAGUUGUUGAGCAGAGGGAAAGGGAUAGGAGAAGGAUGUGGACUGCAGUGCGGCAGUGCCAGAGCCCCAGCAGCUACUAUUAAUAAGUGUCUGGAAUAUGUUCCUGGCAUUUCACCUACCCUCUCUCCAAUCCUUCCAAGAAACUCACAAAGCAGGGCUUUUUCUUGAACUUCUCUUCCUCACAACAGUUAAAUCAUCCAUUUAAAGAUGUCAGACAACCUCCGUGUUCUAAGAACUAUUUACUAAGCUCUAUGGAGACACAGCUACGAGCACCACAUGCUGGACCCCUGAAUAUGGAGGGCCAACUACACUAGAAACACACACACUAGCUGAGAAAGAUGGUGGCUUAAGGAGAUCACCAGUUUGUAGUAGAGGCCCACUCUCGGAAGGUUUGGUAAAAAUUUGUUUUGAAUCAUAAUGUUGGCUUUAUUGGCAUGUUGAAACCAUUUACCUCUGUAAUUUUCCAUUUGUUUUCCUUUACAACUACCACUCCUCCUGCCUGAUAAAUAAAUACCAUUGCAAGAUUA